Molecule: ribosomal RNA, 492 nt
Filed under: uncultured bacterium
Lineage: Bacteria
Description: partial 16S ribosomal RNA
Rfam family: Bacterial small subunit ribosomal RNA
Source: RNAcentral
AGUGAACGCUGGCGGUAGGCCUAACACAUGCAAGUCGAACGGCAGCACAGUAAGAGCUUGCUCUUACGGGUGGCGAGUGGCGGACGGGUGAGGAAUACAUCGGAAUCUACUUUUUCGUGGGGGAUAACGUAGGGAAACUUACGCUAAUACCGCAUACGACCUACGGGUGAAAGCAGGGGAUCUUCGUACCUUGCGCGAUUGAAUGAGCCGAUGUCGGAUUAGCUAGUUGGCGGGGUAAAGGCCCACCAAGGCGACGAUCCGUAGCUGGUCUGAGAGGAUGAUCAGCCACACUGGAACUGAGACACGGUCCAGACUCCUACGAGAGGCAGCAGUGGGGAAUAUUGGACAAUGGGCGCAAGCCUGAUCCAGCCAUACCGCGUGGGUGAAGAAGGCCUUCGGGUUGUAAAGCCCUUUUGUUGGGAAAGAAAAGCAGCAGGUUAAUACCCCGCUGUCCUGACGGUACCCAAAGAAUAAGCACCGGCUAACUUCGUG